CUUGGAUACGGAGACAUGGUGCCAUCAACGAUAAUGGGCAAAAUAGUGGGAGGAAUAUGCUCACUUUCCGGAGUGCUCGUAAUCGCUCUCCCCGUGCCCGUUAUUGUGAGCAAU
RNAcentral lists this small RNA (114 nucleotides) under Caenorhabditis japonica. RNAcentral's name for it is "sRNA CJA48629". It matches the Rfam family "Potassium channel RNA editing signal". From Rfam's summary of the family: This family represents a group of sequences related to the human potassium channel Kv1.1 hairpin element which directs the efficient modification of an adenosine to inosine by an adenosine deaminase acting on RNA (ADAR). The record is from RNAcentral. Lineage: Eukaryota; Metazoa; Nematoda; Chromadorea; Rhabditida; Rhabditidae.